UGCCGCGCAGUUAGUUUAUUCAAGGUGGUCAACAGUGGCUCCAUAAGUCAUGACGAGGAUGCUCGCGACUAGAACUUCCAUUGUAAUAAUCGUAGUUGUCUUAUUCGCCUUUUUUUUCUCAUUCUGAAGCUUGGAGGAGACGUCGUCGUCGAAGAUGUACACCGAGAGACUGUGAGGUUAGUUCGUGGUCGUCAUAGAAUCAGUGCACCGCAAACCAAUGCGGACAGAGAGGGUCUCAAUCUCGAUCAAGAACGGAAAUAUCUUCCACGUCUUGUGGAGGAGCACAAUGCCCUGAACUUUACGAAACACGGCAGUGUUACUCAGCCAAACCAUCUGACUGCGUAGUUGGUCCGUGGUCUGAGUGGAGCGCUUGCACAACUCCUUAUGGAGUGUCAGGAAUACAGACCAGUCUCCGUCACAGAACAACUGUGGAGCAAUGCCGUGGAACAUGUACAUCUACUUUCUCGAAAACACGAUCCUGCCCAGAAAUCAGUCGUUUAAAUGGAGGAAGCGUGAAAGAUGGAACAUGCUUCUGUAAGGAAGGUUAUGGUGGAGAUUGCUGCGAGAAAGGAGGAGAAAAUAAAGGUGUGCUUGCAGGUAUCUUAACACCUUGUUUGAUUGUUGCUCUCGUUGGUGCAGUCGUGUUCUAUGUACUUCAUAAAAAAGGGAAGUGUUGAGUAAUGGAGCGCGAUCCUGAGAUCGAAGAAUGCAGUUCAGUUCACAAAUGUAAAACUACAAUCGAAUGACCACACGCCAAUGUAGCAACGAUCACGAAAGAAAUGCAGUUUGCCGAAUCCACAGUAAAACGGAAAAGAAGUUCAUUACGAUGGCUUUUCUAUCUUUAGGAAGCAUCUAGUGCAUGCCAUCGAAAAAUGCACAAGUAGGCAGCAGUGAAGCUCAAUUGAAGCACCACUUAUUGUUGUAAGCAAAUUAUUUUGAAAUGUGCAUAGAAACCUGAGGCUAGUCGUUGACAUAGCUGUCAUUCCUACUGUUAAAUAAUGAAAAUGAAACGUUUGUCAUGUUGAUCUGAA
Stylophora pistillata is the source of this 1031-nucleotide long non-coding RNA. The record is from RefSeq and is a predicted model, not a curated record. NCBI's taxonomy places the organism in Eukaryota, Metazoa, Cnidaria, Anthozoa, Scleractinia, Pocilloporidae.